Molecule: long non-coding RNA, 441 nt
Filed under: Ictidomys tridecemlineatus (thirteen-lined ground squirrel)
Lineage: Eukaryota; Metazoa; Chordata; Mammalia; Rodentia; Sciuridae
Description: lncRNA (ENSSTOG00000032758.1)
Source: RNAcentral
AGAAAGCCCGUCACAGGGCGGGUCUCCUCCCACUCCUCUUUGAACUUCCAGGCUGGAGGGAGUGGCCAGGGCUGUCCGCCACGUCCAGGGAGACCUGACCCUGGCCAUCUGAGGGCCAUCGUGUGCUGGCCACCCCGCCCCGUGUCAUCUCCGACGAGGCCCACGCGGCCCAGGAGGCAGGUGGCAGAGCGAGGCUCAGGGCUCACUUGCAAGAGGAAAGCAGAGCCCGUGUGUGAGCCGGGAACCCAAGGUGCCAGGGAGGCACAGAUUCUUAGAGUCCACGGGAGGCCCCUUGCUGACCGGGUGAGGCUACCCAGAGAAGCCGUCUCAGCAGGGAGGCCCAGGUGAGAGGCCAGCACCUGAGCUUCCUAUAAGAAGUGUCCCCCACCCCGUGAUGAUCCGUCUGAGCCCCCGCUGGAUCCAGCAGGCCCCACGACACUC